GAAUGGAAAGAAAUGAACGGUUUGCAUCUGUAUCAACGGCCAAUUUCCGUUAGAAGAGAAGGUUCCAUCGGAACAAUUUUUUAUUUCUAUUUUCAGGGUACUUCAUCUCUUUUUUUUUUUCUAAAUAAAGAAAAAAAAAAGAGAAGAAAAGAAGUGUGGGGAAAAAUGACAAGAAGAUAUUGGAACAUCAAUUUGGAAGAGAUGAUGGAAGCAGGAGUUCAUUUUGGUCAUGGUACUAGGAAAUGGAAUCCUAGGAUGGCACCUUAUAUCUCUGCAAAGACGAAAAGGUAAUUCAUAUUAUAAAUCUUACUAGAACUGCUCGGUUUUUAUUCAGAAGCUUGUGAUUUUAGUUUUUUGUAUGCAGCAAGUAGGGGAAAACAAUUCUUAAUUGUCGGUACAAAAAAUAAAGCGGCUGAUUCAGUAGCGCGGGCUGCAAUAAGGGGCCCCGGUGUCAUUAUGUUAAAUAAAAAAUGGCUCGGCGGUAUGUUAACGAAUUGGUAUACUACAGAAACGAGACUUCAUAAGUUCAGGGACUUGAGAACGGAACAAAAGACGGGGAGACUUAACCGUCUUCCGAAAAGGGAUGCGGCUGUGUUGAAGAGACAAUUAUUUCACUUGCAAACAUAUCUGGGCGGAAUAAAAAUAUAUGACGGGGUUACCCGAUAUUGUAAUAAUCGUUGAUCAGCAAGAAGAAUAUACGGCUCUUCGAGAAUGUAUCACUUUGGGAAUUCCAACGAUUUGUUUAAUCGAUACAAAUUGUGACCCGGAUCUCGCGGUAUAUUUCGAUUCCAGCCAACGAUGACGCUAUAGCUUCAAUCCGAUUAAUUCUUAACAAAUUAGUAUUUGCAAUUUGUGAGGGUCGUUCUAGCUAUAUACGAAAUUCUUGAUUAAUAAUAAGAUAAGUAAAUUUUUUGGGGGGAACUCCAUAUAAUCGAUUUAUUGAAUCGGUUAUUAUUCUUGACUAGCAUAAAAGAGAUAAAAACCGGAGAUUUUCUGUGAUUAGUUGAUACUUAAAAUAUAUAAUUCAAGUAGGCAAAUCGAAAAAAAGAUGGUUGAAUCAAAAUAAUUCCUUUUUAAGUUCUAUUUCUUUCAGAGGGUAAU
Molecule: RNA transcript, 1101 nt
Organism: Fragaria vesca subsp. vesca
Lineage: Eukaryota; Viridiplantae; Streptophyta; Magnoliopsida; Rosales; Rosaceae
Gene name: 30S ribosomal protein S2, chloroplastic-like
Exons: 1
Source: RefSeq, a predicted model, not a curated record